Molecule: small RNA, 736 nt
Filed under: Russula sp. HMAS 276795
Lineage: Eukaryota; Fungi; Basidiomycota; Agaricomycetes; Russulales; Russulaceae
Description: eukaryotic LSU rRNA
Rfam family: 5.8S ribosomal RNA (bases 259-412)
Source: RNAcentral
UUUUGGAAGUAAAAAUCGUAACAAGGUUUCCGUAGGUGAACCUGCGGAAGGAUCAUUAUCAUACAACUGAGGUGUAACGGCUGUCGCUGAUCUUUAGAGGUCGUGCACGCCCAAGCACUCUCACAAAAUCCAUCUCACCACCUUUUGUGCAUCCACCGCGUGGGCCCCCCUUUUGCAAAGGAGGGUUUGCGUUUUCACAUAAAACUUGUUACAGUGUAGAAUGUUUUUUUUUCUUUUGCGGUUACACGCAAUCAAUACAACUUUCAACAACGGAUCUCUUGGCUCUCGCAUCGAUGAAGAACGCAGCGAAAUGCGAUACGUAAUGUGAAUUGCAGAAUUCAGUGAAUCAUCGAAUCUUUGAACGCACCUUGCGCCCCUUGGCAUUCCGAGGGGCACACCCGUUUGAGUGUCGUGAAAAUCAUCAAAAAGCCCUUUUGGUGGGGUUUUUUUGGACUUGGAGGUUUCAUUGCUUGCUUUUGCUUUUUUAAAGUAAGCUCCUCUCAAAUAAAUUAGUGGGGGUCUGCUUUGCUGGUCCUUAAUGUGAUAAGAUGUUUCUACAUUUUGGAUUUGGCACUGUCACUUGGAUGCCUGCUUCUAACUGUCCCUUGGACAAUGAUGGUGCUCCUGGUCGUCGUCAUUUACAUUGGCGGGAGGCUGGACCCACAAAAGGAACCUUGACCUCAAAUCGGGUGAGACUACCCGCUGAACUUAAGCAUAUCAAUAAGCCGGAAGGAAA